Molecule: long non-coding RNA, 760 nt
Organism: Pseudophryne corroboree (corroboree frog)
Lineage: Eukaryota; Metazoa; Chordata; Amphibia; Anura; Myobatrachidae
Exons: 3
Source: RefSeq, a predicted model, not a curated record
CACGGGACUGAUAUUCUUUCUUGCAGGCUCCUGAGGUGCGAGAAGAAAUGUGUGGAAACUAGUCACUUUGGGUGUCCAAGCGGGAGUUCGUAAAGAUCCAAUAAGUGGUGCUUAAUGAGCCGUUGUGAUGUCAAAGCCCAGCCCCUUCAAGGAAAUACAUUUUAGAACGUUUUAAAACCAGAGGAAAUAGGAUACGGCAUAAAAAAGGAGAUACCUCCCACUCCGGCCAAGAACAAUGGGGUGGACCAGUUCUGAAGAACGGUAGAUAGCAUAUUCAUUUAUAAAGGGUUCUCAAACCACAAAUGCCCUGGCCAUCAAGAACUGAGCGGACCAGUUACAACAAGCAAAUUAUAAGACAUCAAACUGGACACAUUUCACUAAAUUUCAAACUGGUUAAAAUGAAUAAAGCAGGAGUGUGGAUUACAGCACUGCGAGCAGCUAUACAUGCCCUUUUCUUCUAUGACAGGCAUGGCACCCCAACCUAUAGCCUUCAGCGGCAUACAGUAGUCUAACCUGUUUAACUGUAUCCUCACUGAAUAUCUUCCUUCAAUCCUUAACCUUAAUAAAAGCUCUGACUGUAAACUAUCAAACGGCAGUCAGUCACACAGUUCCUCAUAGCUAAGAGCCAUCCAUGACUCAGCUCAGAGUUAUGAUGUCACAACAUUGGUGGAAGGAUAUACACGUGCAAAAUGUGAAGUACUGUAUGUAUUGUUAAAAGAUAAAUAAAUCCAAUAGUUAUUAUCCACAUAUACUGUACAUG